Molecule: long non-coding RNA, 961 nt
Filed under: Nicotiana tabacum (common tobacco)
Lineage: Eukaryota; Viridiplantae; Streptophyta; Magnoliopsida; Solanales; Solanaceae
Description: long non-coding RNA (NTAB_LNC008893)
Source: RNAcentral
UUGAUUCCAACUAAAAAAUUUGUGCAGCCCAAUUAAUAAUCAGUAUAAAAAUUAGCCGAUAAUCCAUCAAUUACUACCAACAUUCUCAAAUUACAAACUGAACAAGUCUUAAAAUGAACCACUACGAGCACACACACACAUAUGGAUAGUUCCAACAAGUGUACAGUAGGUCACUUUAGGCUGCAAGCGUAAAAUAAAUUCAAAUUAAAUACUAAGCACAUGUAAUGUAUCAAAUAAGAGUGAUUAAGGAUAAUAAAAUCAGACCUCAAAGAAUGACAGCUUUUCGACUACGACAGCAAUGUAUGAAUAUGAAUCGGGACACGAGCUUGACCGGAAAACCUCUACCGGGAUACCUCACCGACAACCUCGAAAUCGAUACGGGCACAAAACAGCUUUCAAACUCAAAUGAACUCCACGAUCGGAAUCGAAUCAACUUCCGUUGAAAUCAGAAAAAGCAAAACUUUGACAUUUAAAUGAACUCCGUCGGAUUCUAUGGCUUCUUAAAAUCGGAAACAGACGACAAGAGAAACUAUGGGAUAAAAAUGACUGCUGCUGCAACUUCAAAGGUGCUGGCCGCGUUUGGUUAAGAAACAACCAUCGAAACUGGUUGCUUCCUCAUUUUGUGUCCAAAACUGCUGUAACUUAGGGUCUAUUGGUGUCUGUGUUGAUGAAGAGAGCAGGGGUGAGGUCAUUUGGUUCUGUUUGUCGCAUCUGGAGCUCGUUAAUCCGGCGAGUUUCAGGCAUCCGCGGCCAGCCGUGGUCAGCUGGUAAGGGGUGUGAGUGAAGAGGGUUAUGGGGUCUCUAAUGGCUGAAGAAGGAGGAUGAAAAAGCUUGGGGUUUAUGAGUUCGAAACAUGAAGAAGCAGCAGAACAGGGGGCCGUUUUUUAAUCUUCCAUCGCGCUGCUUGCUUCAAUCUGGCGUGAAGAAGACGAAGCCAGGGUGUGGGAGGGGGGGGGGGGGG